This 2446-nucleotide long non-coding RNA is filed under the name Olea europaea (common olive). RNAcentral's name for it is "long non-coding RNA (OEUR_LNC000662)". Lineage: Eukaryota; Viridiplantae; Streptophyta; Magnoliopsida; Lamiales; Oleaceae. The record is from RNAcentral.
AUCAGCCCAAAACUUAUAACAAAGACCUGUCCAAAAUUCUCCCAGUUGCUCAAAAUAAGCCCUAGCUUGGAAGAGAGGACGUCAAAAAUUCACUUCAUCCCAAUUUAUACUUGCAGCAAAAUCCAAUACUAGAUCCUACUUUCUUUUUGUAAUUUGUCUUUCAGAUAAUGGAUUGUUCCUCCGAUUAUGGCAGAUACAAAAAUACUUUUGGCUGAUUUCAACUUCGACAUGUGUGCGCAAUUUAAGGGCAAACUUUUGGCUCAUUAUUUAGGCUUUUGUUUUUUCCCUUUGCAUUGGUAUGAGUUUCUUGAUUUAUUGAAUAUUACGUGUUCUUGUUGGUUUCUCUUUUGUUUGAUAUUGUUUGGUUUUGUUUUGUGAAACCUCAUUGGAAUAUCAUUUUCUUAGAUGAAAUGAAUUAAUUUGUGUAUAGGACUUUCUUGUUAUACUUAGAAAUUUGUAGAAAACACACAUUUGGGCAAAUCUCUGAAUGCUUGAAGGGAUUAUUCGCUACUGAAAAGAUAAAAAUCUAUAUCUAGUUUUAAGGUUUUUAAGCCUUUGAGUGAUGUUCAAAUAAUUGGGUUUGGCUUGUAAUUGAAGAUUUUUCUUCGACUACUUGAAAUUAUUAACACUAUAUUACAUGAAUAUGGGAUUGGUGAAAUAUGUUUAUGCCCUUUUGUUUGGUAAUAUUAUAAAGGGUCGGAAGAAUACAACGAAAACCUAUUUCAUUCAAAUUGAAUGGUCAAGAAAAUAGGUUUCAACAAUUGAUGAAUUAUCACCAACAGAAGCAUUAUAAAGAUGGGCUUCAAAUCUCAAACAAUGGUGGAGAGGUAAUAGAAUUAAUAUAGACAUUUGGGAGUUUUGGACAGUUUGAAUAAAGAGAGUAGAAUAAAAAUAGCUGCCAAGGUUUUACAUUCAUUGACAGAUGAAAAUCUCUAUUUGAAAAGCAAAUAAGAUGUAUGGCGGGCAUAUUUCAAAUGUUCGAUCGCCAUCAUAUUUUUACUGGACAGCACAUCCAGAAGAGGAUUCCGUCGGUAAAUAUUCCUUCUUGUAUUGUUUCUUGACUAUAAUCUUGUAGGAUUUUUUAUUUGUCUAGUUAGAUAUUCUAUAACUAGUUAGAAGACUAAAUAUGAAGCUAGCCUGUCUUCCAGGUUGUGAGGAAUGUUAUACACACACACACACACACUCACACUCACACUUGUGAAAAAAAAAAAAUUAUAGGGUCUCAAUAAUAAUUAGUCGCUUAGGGCCUCAGAAUUCUCAAGACCGGUCCUACAUAAAAAUAUAAAAUGACGUAACCAUUUUCGAUAUCUUUAACGUAAACGAAUUUGUCACACUCGUUGAUCUUAGAUCCACAUUUAAUCACAAUGUUAUCAAAUUUUUUGCAUGUCACUAUUUGGGUGCUUGUUUCAAGCAUUACAAUGAUUUCACCAAUUUACAGGCUUUCUUUUCCUGCCCUGAUGAUGAAGAACCCUCGGGUUUUUCCAUUAGAUUCUUUCUCUAAAUUUCCAUUCAAAAAGGUAGUUUUAACUUCAAUUUGAUAUCCUUUAAGAUUUUGUAGAGCCGUAAUCACAAGUAUCAUCCUAAUAGAAAUUAUUUUCGUUACUGGAGAAUAUGUAUCAAGGCAACCAAGGCACUCACGUUGUUUGUAACAUUUUAUCACUAAUCUGGCCUUAUAUUUAGUUCCAUCUACUUUCAUUUUCCUUUUGAAAAUCUAUUUGUAGUCUACCGAUUUGUUCUUGAAGGAGGAUCCACCAGCUCACAUGUAUGAUUUUACAAAUGGAAUCUAUUUUGCUUUUAAUGGCCUCUUUCUAUUGAGAUUCUUCCGAAGAGUUCACUACUUUUUAGAAACUUUUAGGUUCACUUUCAGCAUAUAAGUCAAAAAAUUAUGACUAUAAAAUUUUUCUAUCCUUUCUCUUUUGCAACCUCAACUUCAUUUUCUAGUCCUUGAUCCUAACUAUUUCUGACCAUAGUCUCAUGUGUCCGUUUAAAAAAGCUUGCUACCUCUUUAGAUCUGUACGGAAAUAUAUGUUUAAAGAAUGAAACAUUUCUUGAUUCCAUUAUCAUAGUUUUGUGUAUGUAUGGGAUUUUAGACUCGUGCACAAGAAAUUGAUAAACGCUACUAUUAUGUGCUUAGCCAAUGAAGAUGAAAUCUACAACUUUCGGACUUAUCUUCACCUUCUUUGGUGUUAGUACAACCACUUUAGCAAGACGCUUCGCACUCGUAAGUAUUAUAGAAAUAUUUCCUUCCUUUUCCAUAAGGUAUAAGGGCUUUUUUUCUUUUUUCGUUCAGGCUACAUUGUUUAAAAGGUAAUUUGUCGACCGCACAGCUUCCCUUUACAUGUUUUGAGGUAACUCAAAACUUACUAAUAUUUCAUUCAUAAUUUCCUUUAAGGUACUAUUUUUUCUUUCAGUAAUACCAUUUUGUUGAGAUGAAUAAGUUGCAAUG